This 724-nucleotide long non-coding RNA is filed under the name Panicum hallii. Its description in RNAcentral is "long non-coding RNA (PHAL_LNC000846)". Lineage: Eukaryota; Viridiplantae; Streptophyta; Magnoliopsida; Poales; Poaceae. The record is from RNAcentral.
AUAUCCUCUCUUUUUUUUUGAAGAAAACACAAUAUCCUUUUCCAUUACCAGUACAGAAUGUUCAGCAGAAAGCGCUGUAGGGGGAAUAGAUACGUCCCAGGUUAUUACAGGAACUGAAGAGCCCCCGGGCAUCUGGCCUGCUCUCAUACCCAAACACAAAAAGGCGGCCAAGAACAGCUAGCUAUCAAAGCAUACUGAACAUCCAGUCACAGCGCCGAGGUUGAAGACGACUCUGUUUCCACCAGCCGACAGCGUUCCCGUCCCUGCUCCUCAGGUCUUCUUCAUCUAUCAUCAGAACACCAGCAACUGAGCAGGAAAAGUUGCCGACCAAACGCUUUCCAGGCAAUAUGCCACUGUAGAUAAAGUACGAAAGAUAUCGAAUUAUCAGGCUAAAUUAUUGGGAGGUCCCACCUCAUGUUAGGUGAUGAGGUGGUCAGGUCCGAUAUAUGUAACUAACAUAUUAAGAACUGUAGCUACUGUGACAGUCUGCACAGAACAAUUAUGCUAGCCGAGUGCACGUUUUUGUUUAAAAAGUAAGCAACUUUCAUUCUUUUUAAGGUCAGGUAAUGAUGUCAUGAUGCACAAUCUUUUGCGUGUUCAGUCUUCAGUGAAGAGAAAAGAAGCUAACCUCUUGCUCUUUUUUCAAUUUCACCAUGCUGCAGGCGGCUGUGGUGCAUGCGUCGUCCUCGUCUCCAAGUACGACCCCGCCACCGACGAGGUGACC